This 450-nucleotide ribosomal RNA is filed under the name uncultured bacterium. RNAcentral's name for it is "bacterial SSU rRNA". It matches the Rfam family "Bacterial small subunit ribosomal RNA", at positions 330 to 794 of the family's 1533-position model. The record is from RNAcentral.
GCCAGACUCCUACGGGAGGCAGCAGUGGGGAAUAUUGGGCAAUGGGCGCAAGCCUGACCCAGCAACGCCGCGUGAAGGAAGAAGGCUUUCGGGUUGUAAACUUCUUUUCUCAGGGACGAAGAAAGUGACGGUACCUGAGGAAUAAGCCACGGCUAACUACGUGCCAGCAGCCGCGGUAAUACGUAGGUGGCAAGCGUUAUCCGGAUUUACUGGGUGUAAAGGGCGUGUAGGCGGGGAAGCAAGUCAGAUGUGAAGACCAGGGGCUCAACCUGUGGCUUGCAUUUGAGACUGGUUUUCUUGAGUACUGGAGAGGCAGACGGAAUUCGUGGUGUAGCGGUGAAAUGCGUAGAUAUUAGGAGGAACACCGGUGGCGAAGGCGGUCUGCUGGACAGCAACUGACGCUGAGGCGCGAAAGCGUGGGGAGCAAACAGGAUUAGAUACCCGAGUAAU